GUGUAUGUUUAAUGAUAUCAGUGCAUUGGUGCCUAAAGUGCAACAUUUGCAUAAAGCAAAACAAAUUAUAUUGACCCUUGUUGAUAGUAUUAAUGAACUUGAAAAUGAUCCAGCUGAGGUACACUAUUAAAAAUUAAAAAUAUAAAAAACUGCGAGUUACUGUGGUUAAGUACAAGUUAUGAACAAAAUGCAAAAAAAUCAGAAUCAAAUAAUGUGACAGCCCUUGUCUGCUUUUCUGACCUCUCCAGAUGACUGCCCACAACCACCUCCUUCAGCUCCACGAUGUUGGGAUGUCUGAGCCGUAGCAACAGGGUGAUUUCUCUCAGGCUGCUGAUGGGGAUGCCUGACCAAGACAAAAACAUCAUCAGAGACUCAAAGCGCUUCACAUAGUGAGACCCAUUUCCUACAUCUUUUAAGCUCCCUUUAAACCACUGUGGGUGGCACUGGGAGCAGCGCUCACAGAGAAGUGGGAACUCAUCAUUCAUUCACACCUGGUGGUGGUAAGCUACAUCAGCCACAGUUGCCCUGGGGUAGACUGACGAACACAAUGGCAGUCACUAGGAUGACGGAAACGGGAAUCGAACCUGCAACCCUCAAGCUGCUGGCGCGGUCGCUCUACAAACCGAGCCACACCUCUCAAAUUUAAUGCCCAUUUUUAAUUGCAUAUUGUUAUUGUUUACACACUACUGUAAGCUUUUGAAAAAGAUAAUGUUGAAUAGUUGAAAAGUUUACAUUAACUUUUAUCUAGCUAAUUAGAAUUGGCUCUCAAGACUGUUUGACCUGAGAAUGUAUUUUUAUCUAUUUACUUUUCUGUAGUAGCAUCCGGUGUUCUGACUUCAAGCACCUGCCGUAGACAAUAGCCAAUUUCAAAGGUUUUGCCAGUCAAUCAAACUGUACAUUCAAUCAAAAUGAUUAAAAGGAACUGCACUCAUACCCUCUGAAUAAACAUCCAAUUCUAAAUUAUUUGAUCAAUAUAAUAUACCCUUAAGUCAUUUUUUGAAUGUGAUCUCUUUAAAAAAAAAUUAAGAAAUGCAUAUCCUCUGAAAGUAUGACUUAUAGCCACAAACUGGAGGAUUUUUUUUUUUAAUCAAGAUAAAAUUUAAAAAUAUAUUUGUAAGGUUUUAUGGAAUAAUAAAAUAACAUCACACUAGGAAUGCAAAUAAUGCAUGUGUUUAAUUUUUUUUAGAAAUAGACAUGUCAUUAAAUAUUUGGAAAAAGCGCUUUUCUUGCUUCCUCUUGGAUCCACUUUGAAAGCCAGAGCCGAAGAAAAGAAAAGGGACAGACGUAGCCAUUUAUCAACGUUAUUAAGUUCAUUUUCAUUCAUUGUUUGAUUGAUUGACGUAUUGACUAUUGGCCAAGUCCUACAAUUGUAUUACAAAAUGUUUGCGGAUGACUCGGCCUUGCUGGUAUCCGGAAAGGAAAAAAUCCUCAGUGCUAGUAUUUGCACCUGACUCGCUGACAAUAAACUUUCCAUACACUUAGAUAAAACGGAAUCCAUCCUAUUUGGGUCCCAAAUCAACCUUAAGAAAGUCAGUGACUUCACUAUUAAAGUGGGCGACAUUGUUAUCACCAGGAAAGAUGAGGUCACCUACCUAGGUUCCAUACUAGAGGCUAAUCUUUCCUGUGAUAAAAUGGCAACCAAGGUAAUCAAAAAGGUCAACCAACAAGCGAGAUUUCUCUACAGAAUCUCCUUUCUGGUCAACAAAAGCACCUUGAAGAUUCUAGCGGGAACUCUCAACCCUUUUUCGAUUACGCUUGCACCUCCUGGUACCCCAGCACGUCCAAAACCCUCAAAUCUAGACUCGAAAAAUCCCAGCACAAGCUAGUCAGGUUACUUCUAGACCUCCACCCCAGAUCCCACCUCACUCCAACCCACUUCUCCAAAGUGGGCUGGCUCAGGGUGAAGGACAGAGUAAAACAACUUGCACUGAGCCUAGUCUAUAAAAUCCGCUACACCUCCCUGAUACCGAAGUACAUGUCAAACUACUUCCUUAAUGCAAAUGACCGCCAUAACCACAACACCAGGGGGAGCUCCACAAACCACGUUAAACCCAGAUUCCGAUCUAACAAAGGUCUUAACUCAUUCUCUUUCUAUGCCACAUCAAUAUGGAAUGCACUCCCAACAGGUGUUGAAGAAAGUACAUUAUAACAAUAAUAAUGGAUUAGAUUUAUAUCGCGCUUUUCUAUUGUUAGAUACUCAAAGCGCUCACAGAGAAGUUGGAACCCAUCAUUCAUUCACACCUGGUGGUGGUAAGCGACAUCUGUACCCACAGCUGCCCUAGAGUAGACUGACGGAAGCGUGGCUGCCAGUUUGCGCCUACGGCCCUUCCGACCACCACCAAUCAUUCAUUCAUCAUUCAUUCACCAGUGUGAGUGGCACCGGGGGCAAGGGUGAAGUGUCCUGCCCAAGGACACAACGGCAACGAUUUGGAUGUCAAUAGGUGGGAAGCGAACCUGCAACCCUCAGGUUUCUGUCACGGCCGCUCUACCCACUACGCCAUGCCGCCCCUAAAUCAUCUCUGUCCUCCUUCAAAACCACACUAAAAGAACACCUCCAGGCAACUUCAACUUUUAACUAACACCCUCCCUCCUCCACAUACCACCUCCCCGGAUUGUAAAUAAUCAAAUGUAAAUAAUCAAAUGUAUAUAAUUGUUCUUAUUAGGGGUGUGGGAAAAAAUGGAUUCGAAUACGAAUCGAAUCAUUUACGUUGUGCGAUUCGGAAUCUAUUCUCAUUUUUUAAAAAUCGUUUUUUUUUUUUAAUUAAAUUUUUUUUUUUUUUUAAUCAAUCCAACAAACCAUUACACAUAAAUACCAUAAUAAUGCAAUCCAAUUCCAAAUCCAAACCUGACCCAGCAACACUCAGAACUGCAAUAAACAGCAGGAGAGGAGACAAACACGACACAGAACAAACCAAAAGUAGUGAAACAAAAAUGAUUAUAU
Long non-coding RNA from Nerophis ophidion (straightnose pipefish), 2941 nucleotides. RefSeq lists it as uncharacterized. The record is from RefSeq and is a predicted model, not a curated record. NCBI's taxonomy places the organism in Eukaryota, Metazoa, Chordata, Actinopteri, Syngnathiformes, Syngnathidae. The transcript is spliced from 3 exons.